This 592-nucleotide long non-coding RNA is filed under the name Monodelphis domestica (gray short-tailed opossum). RNAcentral describes it as "lncRNA (ENSMODG00000044202.1)". The record is from RNAcentral. Lineage: Eukaryota; Metazoa; Chordata; Mammalia; Didelphimorphia; Didelphidae.
AGCUUUGUCCAAGUGACAUAUUUUCACUUUCAAAGGGGGAAGAUCAUUUACUUCACUACACCUGAAAGAGUAUCAUUGGCAAAAAGACCAAACACCCAGCUGGAAUCUGGCAGGAUGAUAGGGUUGAUAUAUUCCAUGCUAAUAUUUUUCUGCAUCAAAGCAAAAUCACUGUAUGAAAAGAUGCUCAUCUAAUGGCAGAUGAAGCAUGGAUAGAGGUCUAGAUUCCAAGUCAAAUUUGACCUCCAACAAAACUUACUAACUCUGUGACACUGGUAAAGCUGUGAACAUCUCUACUUUCCUUGGUUUCCUCAUCUUCAUAACAGCACCCACAUUGUAGUAUUAUUGCAAGCUUAAACUGAGAUAUUUAAAAACAUUUUAUAAACUAUAAAGUUCUACAAAAAUGGAAGCUUUUUCUGGAUCCCAUCAACCCUUUCCUCACUACCCUCUGGCUCUAAAUCUCUUUCUUUAGUCUGAUCGGAAAUGGUGGUAGGUAGACAGCUCCUCUCAGACACCGCCAAGUAGGGAGGAGAUCAGUAGAAUUCUGGAUUUAUCAUCCUCCCUUCAUUUCAUGUGUUAUUUUCCAUUAAAUUCU